GUGAGGAAUAUUGGUCAAUGGGCGAAAGCCUGAACCAGCCAUGUCGCGUGAAGGAUGAAGGUCCUAUGGAUUGUAAACUUCUUUUGCAGGAGGGUAAAGUGAGCUACGUGUAGUUCAUUGCAAGUACCCUGCGAAUAAGCAUCGGCUAACUCCGUGCCAGCAGCCGCGGUAAUACGGAGGAUGCGAGCGUUAUCCGGAUUUAUUGGGUUUAAAGGGUGCGUAGGCGGACUAAUUAGUCAGCGGUGAAAUUUUGCGGCUCAACCGUAAAACUGCCGUUGAAACUGUUAGUCUUGAGUGCGGUAGAGGUAGGCGGAAUGUGUGGUGUAGCGGUGAAAUGCUUAGAUAUCACACAGAACACCGAUUGCGUAGGCAGCUUACUGGAGCGCAACUGACGCUGAGGCACGAAAGCGUGGGGAUCGAACAGGAUUAGAAACCCCGGUAGUCC
Molecule: ribosomal RNA, 445 nt
Filed under: uncultured bacterium
Lineage: Bacteria
Description: partial 16S ribosomal RNA
Rfam family: Bacterial small subunit ribosomal RNA
Source: RNAcentral